UAAGGCCCUCGCUCAGCCAGGAGGCCGUGGCUGUCUGGGUAGUGAGGCAGAAACCUCCAGGCACGGCCUCACCAGCGAGCUCAGAAACUGGUCCUGCAGGGCCAGCUGCCCGGCCAGCAGCCUCAGCCAGACUCACCAAGCCAAGGCCCAAGCCCAGACACAUGGAGGUCCCUGCUCCUCGUCACGGGACAGCUUGUCACGAAGCCAGGAGAGCUGCUGCCAGAGCUUCAGAGGCUCUUGUGCUUUUCUUCUGAGAGCCCUUAGAUGUGGUGGAGGAGCCGUUGCCAGCAACUCUGAGACCUGGGAAGAGGCUGGAGACUCCAGGCAGCCAAGGGAGAGGCUUCCUAAAGUCGAUGCGAGAGCCUGGCAGGCUGACUGGUGGAAUAAGCUCAGGCCCAGUGGAGGUGACAGGAAGUCUCAAUGGACAGCCCUUUCCGGAUGGGAGGCCCACCCAGGAGACAGGGCCAAGUCCCCAGAGCUCCUGUCAGAAUGGGAGGCACUGCUGCAGCUGGGAGAGGGAAGACCUGUGUGUCCACUGAUUGUCACAGAGAUUGGCCUGAGGCUGACCAAGCGGCCACACCUGGCUCAGAGAGCCUUGUACACGGGAGCAGCAGCAGGAGAGCCAGGUUACAGAGGGCCUUGUAAGCCUCAGUGAGCAUUUCGGUCUUGAACCCUGUGAACUCAGAAGUUACUGCACGGCUGACUCAGGAGACCACAGGAAAUGGCUUCUCUGGGGGCACAGAGCAUCAUAUCAGAAGUUGUGGGCAUUAGCAUAUCAGAGCCAACAGAUAUUCCUGGUUUCCAGGUGUGGAGUGGAAAUUCUGCCUUUAGGACACCAGCUGGCUGGUGUGGUGGUGCACACCUAUAAUCCCAGCACUAGGGAAGAUGAGCCAGGAGGAUCACAUGUUCAAGCCUGGCCUGGGUAAUUUAGCAAGACUAUCUCAAAAAAUGAAAAAAGGGCUGGAUGUAGCUCAGCGCAAAGACUCUGGGUUCAAUCUGCAAUACCACACAUACACAGAAGCCAAAAACCAAAAAAUGCUUUAUUUACAAAAGUCAGUCUAGCUGGGUUUGGUCUGUGGACCUGUUUGCUGAUCUCUAACAUAGAAAGAAUAUAUUAGGAACAUAUAAGGACUUGUAUCAGGAUGUCUAUUGCAUUAUUGUAGUUUGAAGAGGAAAAAAAGCCAAAGACCUGAUACAACCUACACAUCCACCAUUAGUUUAUGAGUUCAGUGUGAUGGUUGAGAAAUCCUGGCAAGUUUAUUCUACAGAUUUAAAGCAAAUGUUCAAGGGAACCAGUGAAUUAUGGGCCUCCUGACUUGGACGAGCAUCUGUAAGGUAUUAGGUGUACACAGCAGUCUGCAGAACAACACAACCGACCUGCACACCUGUCCACGCUGUGGCUCCGUAGGGCCCUGCUGUCACAGAAGGCCCUCCUCCGUCCCUCUGAUGCUGAGCCGGGCCAUGAGGCUCGCUGUGACUGUGGAGUGUUAGCAGGUGUGAGCAGAGCCCAUCCCUGUGCCUGCAUAGUCGCUGCUUGCGUUUUGGCAUUUGGGUGCUGAAGACAGAACACAGAGCCUUGAGCAGGCUAAGCCCAUCCCUCUACCACCAGAGCUCUGCCUCCAGUCCUGCCGUACAUGGUUCCCCGUGGUUUCUGUGCUCCCAGGGGCACCUUUCGAAGAACAUACCCUGAGUGGCCACUAGAGCAAGGUUGACAAGGAGCAGGCGAGGCAAGCCCAGCCCAGGCACCGCAGCCUGAAGCAGAACUGCCCAGCCUGCACCUGCAGAGCCAGGAGCUUAAGAGAAAAGGCUUUGGCCGGGCAUGGUGACGCAUGCCUGGAAUCCCAGCACUCGGAAGGCUGUGGCAGGAGGACCAACUUGAAUUCAAGGCCAGCCUGAUCUACACAGCAAGACCCUGUCCCCCUACAAAAACAAAUAAACAAAAAAGAAUAAAAGCUUAGGUCCAUGUUUUGCUGCUAUAACAAAAUACCAGAGGGGCCGGGGAUUUAGCUCAGUGGUUUCACCGCCUGCUGCGCAAGCACAAGGACCCAAGAUCGAUCCCUGGUACCAAAAAAAAAAACCCAACAAAAUACCAGAGGCUGGGUAAUUCAUAAAGAAAAUAAAUUGUGGGCCAGGUGUGGUAGGGUACCCCUGUAAUCCAGAACUUGAGAGGCUGAGACAGUAGGAUCCCUAUGAAUUUGAGACCAGCCUGGGCUACAUAGGGAGUUCAGAGCCAGCCUGAACUACGUAGAG
Molecule: long non-coding RNA, 2250 nt
Organism: Heterocephalus glaber (naked mole-rat)
Lineage: Eukaryota; Metazoa; Chordata; Mammalia; Rodentia; Bathyergidae
Source: Ensembl